Molecule: ribosomal RNA, 1158 nt
Filed under: Helicobacter bilis
Lineage: Bacteria; Pseudomonadati; Campylobacterota; Epsilonproteobacteria; Campylobacterales; Helicobacteraceae
Description: bacterial SSU rRNA
Rfam family: Bacterial small subunit ribosomal RNA
Source: RNAcentral
GGCCUGAGAGGGUGAUCGGACACACUGGAACUGAGACACGGUCCAGACUCCUACGGGAGGCAGCAGUAGGGAAUAUUGCUCAAUGGGGGAAACCCUGAAGCAGCAACGCCGCGUGGAGGAUGAAGGUUUUAGGAUUGUAAACUCCUUUUGUAAGAGAAGAUUAUGACGGUAUCUUACGAAUAAGCACCGGCUAACUCCGUGCCAGCAGCCGCGGUAAUACGGAGGGUGCAAGCGUUACUCGGAAUCACUGGGCGUAAAGAGCGCGUAGGCGGGAGAGUAAGUCAGAUGUGAAAUCCUGUAGCUUAACUACAGAACUGCAUUUGAAACUACUUUUCUGGAGUAUGGGAGAGGUAGGUGGAAUUCUUGGUGUAGGGGUAAAAUCCGUAGAGAUCAAGAGGAAUACUCAUUGCGAAGGCGACCUGCCGGAACAUUACUGACGCUGAUGCGCGAAAGCGUGGGGAGCAAACAGGAUUAGAUACCCUGGUAGUCCACGCCCUAAACGAUGAAUGCUAGUUGUUGCCCUGCUUGUCGGGGCAGUAAUGCAGCUAACGCAUUAAGCAUUCCGCCUGGGGAGUACGGUCGCAAGAUUAAAACUCAAAGGAAUAGACGGGGACCCGCACAAGCGGUGGAGCAUGUGGUUUAAUUCGAGGAUACGCGAAGAACCUUACCUAGGCUUGACAUUGAUAGAAUCCGCUAGAGAUAGUGGAGUGCUGGCUUGCCAGAGCUUGAAAACAGGUGCUGCACGGCCGUCGUCAGCUCGUGUCGUGAGAUGUUGGGUUAAGUCCCGCAACGAGCGCAACCCUCGUCCUUAGUUGCUAGCAGUUCGGCUGAGCACUCUAAGGAGACUGCCUUCGUAAGGAGGAGGAAGGUGAGGACGACGUCAAGUCAUCAUGGCCCUUACGCCUAGGGCUACACACGUGCUACAAUGGGACAUACAAAAAGAUGCAAUACCGCGAGGUGGAGCAAAUCUCUAAAAUGUCUCUCAGUUCGGAUUGUAGUCUGCAACUCGACUACAUAAAGCUGGAAUCGCUAGUAAUCGCAAAUCAGCAAUGUUGCGGUGAAUACGUUCCCGGGUCUUGUACUCACCGCCCGUCACACCAUGGGAGUUGUAUUCGCCUUAAGUCGGGAUACUAAAUUGGUUACCGCCCACGGCGGAUG